AUUGAGCGCUGGCGGCCGGCCUAACACAUGCAAGUCGAACGGUAACAGGAAGAAGCUUGCUUCUUUGCUGACGAGUGGCGGACGGGUGAGUAAUGUCUGGGAAACUGCCUGAUGGAGGGGGAUAACUACUGGAAACGGUAGCCAAUACCGCAUAACGUCGCAAGACCAAAGAGGGGGACCUUCGGGCCUCUUGCCAUCGGAUGUGCCCAGAUGGGAUUAGCUAGUUGGUGGGGGAACGGCGCACAAAGGCGACGAUCCCUAGCUGGUCUGAGAGGAUGACCAGCCACACUGGAACUGAGACACGGUCCAGACUCCUACGGGAGGCAGCUGUGGGGAAUAUUGCACAAUGGGCGCAAGCCUGAUGCAGCCAUGCCGCGUGUAUGAAGAAGGCCUUCGGGUUGUAAAGUACUUUCAGCGAGGAGGAAGGGAGUAAAGUUAAUACCUUUGCUCAUUGACGUUACCCGCAGAAGAAGCACCGGCUAACUCCGUGCCAGCCGCCGCCGUAA
This 506-nucleotide ribosomal RNA is filed under the name uncultured bacterium. RNAcentral describes it as "partial 16S ribosomal RNA". It matches the Rfam family "Bacterial small subunit ribosomal RNA", at positions 30 to 523 of the family's 1533-position model. The record is from RNAcentral.